RNAcentral lists this ribosomal RNA (751 nucleotides) under Microbacterium sp. Its description in RNAcentral is "bacterial SSU rRNA". It matches the Rfam family "Bacterial small subunit ribosomal RNA", at positions 80 to 842 of the family's 1533-position model. The record is from RNAcentral. Lineage: Bacteria; Bacillati; Actinomycetota; Actinomycetes; Micrococcales; Microbacteriaceae.
UUGCUGGGUGGAUCAGUGGCGAACGGGUGAGUAACACGUGAGCAACCUGCCCCUGACUCUGGGAUAAGCGCUGGAAACGGCGUCUAAUACUGGAUAUGUACCACGAUCGCAUGGUCUGUGGUUGGAAAGAUUUUUCGGUUGGGGAUGGGCUCGCGGCCUAUCAGCUUGUUGGUGAGGUAAUGGCUCACCAAGGCGUCGACGGGUAGCCGGCCUGAGAGGGUGACCGGCCACACUGGGACUGAGACACGGCCCAGACUCCUACGGGAGGCAGCAGUGGGGAAUAUUGCACAAUGGGCGAAAGCCUGAUGCAGCAACGCCGCGUGAGGGAUGACGGCCUUCGGGUUGUAAACCUCUUUUAGCAGGGAAGAAGCGAAAGUGACGGUACCUGCAGAAAAAGCGCCGGCUAACUACGUGCCAGCAGCCGCGGUAAUACGUAGGGCGCAAGCGUUAUCCGGAAUUAUUGGGCGUAAAGAGCUCGUAGGCGGUUUGUCGCGUCUGCUGUGAAAUCCGGAGGCUCAACCUCCGGCCUGCAGUGGGUACGGGCAGACUAGAGUGCGGUAGGGGAGAUUGGAAUUCCUGGUGUAGCGGUGGAAUGCGCAGAUAUCAGGAGGAACACCGAUGGCGAAGGCAGAUCUCUGGGCCGUAACUGACGCUGAGGAGCGAAAGGGUGGGGAGCAAACAGGCUUAGAUACCCUGGUAGUCCACCCCGUAAACGUUGGGAACUAGUUGUGGGGUCCAUUCCACGGAUUCC